This 379-nucleotide ribosomal RNA is filed under the name uncultured cyanobacterium. RNAcentral describes it as "bacterial SSU rRNA". It matches the Rfam family "Bacterial small subunit ribosomal RNA", at positions 29 to 414 of the family's 1533-position model. The record is from RNAcentral. Lineage: Bacteria; Bacillati; Cyanobacteriota.
AGUGAACGCUGGCGGCGUGCUUAACACAUGCAAGUCGAACGAGAACGGACUUAAGCUUGCUUAAGUUGUCAGCUAAGUGGCGCACGGGUGAAUAAUGUAUAGUUAACCUGCCCUCCAGAGAGGAAUAACAGUUGGAAACGACUGCUAAUGCCUUAUAUGCCUUUAAGUGAAAUGGGUUUCCGCCUAAAGAAAAGCUUACGGCUGAUUAGCUUGUUGGUAAGGUAAUGGCUUACCAAGGCGACAAUCAGUAUCUGGUUUGAGAGGAUGAUCAGACACACUGGAACUGAGACACGGUCCAGACUCCUACGGGAGGCAGCAGUGGGGAAUUUUCCGCAAUGGGCGCAAGCCUGACGGAGCAAUUUCGCGUGAAGGAUGACGG